UAAGGUACCUUAUUGACUUCGGUCAGUGAGU
Molecule: non-coding RNA, 31 nt
Filed under: Mus musculus (house mouse)
Lineage: Eukaryota; Metazoa; Chordata; Mammalia; Rodentia; Muridae
Source: RNAcentral